Molecule: long non-coding RNA, 640 nt
Filed under: Prunus persica (peach)
Lineage: Eukaryota; Viridiplantae; Streptophyta; Magnoliopsida; Rosales; Rosaceae
Description: long non-coding RNA (PPER_LNC003260)
Source: RNAcentral
AUGUAUAUCACAACCGUGAGAUGGGAAAAAAGAUGCAAAUGUACAUCUAAUUUUACACCCAGCCAAAUGGGUGCCGUAACAAAAAAACCAAGAGAGAGAAGAGAGGAAGGCUACCUAAAAGAUGGAGAAGUUAUUAUAAUGGUGGGCCCAGGGUGUGGUUGAGAUUUAUUAAAGUGGGGAAGUUAUUAAAAUGAUGCAAAUGUAUGAAGUUCUUCUCUAACAACUCUCUAAUGUAGAUUUCAUUCAAAUUGAAAUAUAAAACUAACAACUACACUGAUGAAUGGUGAAGAAUAAAUUCAUAUCAAACCCGACGGUUCAGAUUAAUUUUAUUAUCUUAUUGAAUGAAAUUAUCUCUUAUCGCAAUUUUAAAAUUUUUGUGUCAAUUUGUUUAGAAAAAAUAAUUAAACCUAACACAUUAAAAAUUAACCCAAAAAAACAAAACAUGAAAAAAAAAUUAACACAAUAAACGAAUUCAUACAAGAAAAUUGGAUUUACAUCUUUGAAUUUGCAUCGAACUCAUUGAAGCAAAAAUGACAUUUGCAUCUCCCGGAGGUGUAAAGAGUAUGUAAAAGUGGGUUUACACCUCCGCAUUUACACCUCCCCACUGUGAAUGCUCUAACAGUGGCCAAGUCACAUGCCA